RNAcentral lists this ribosomal RNA (1243 nucleotides) under metagenome. RNAcentral's name for it is "bacterial LSU rRNA". It matches the Rfam family "Bacterial large subunit ribosomal RNA", at positions 1564 to 2816 of the family's 2925-position model. The record is from RNAcentral.
UGAAUACGAGAUGCUACGGCGUCGAAGCAGUCUAUGUCAUACUUCCAAGAAAAGCUUGCACUGUCAUAAACAAAUAAUGCCUGUACCAUAACCGACACAGGUGGGUAGGUAGAGUAUACUAAGGGGCGCGAGAUAACUCUCUCUAAGGAACUCGGCAAAAUGACUCCGUAACUUCGGGAGAAGGAGUGCCUUAUUUAUAAGGUUGCAAUAACAAGAUCCAAGCAACUGUUUACCAAAAACACAGGUCUCUGCUAAGUCGUAAGACGAUGUAUGGGGGCUGACGCCUGCCCAGUGCCAGAAGGUUAAAGAAGUUGGUUAGCAUCCGCGAAGCUGAUAACUGAAGCCCUGGUGAACGGCGGCCGUAACGAUAACGGUCCUAAGGUAGCGAAAUUCCUUGUCGGGUAAGUUCCGACCCGCACGAAAGGCGUAAUGGUUUGGAUACUGUCUCGGAGAGGGGCUCGGUGAAAUAGACUUGUCUGUGAAGAUGCGGACUACCUGCACCAGGACAGAAAGACCCUAUGAAGCUUUACUGUAACCUGAAAUUGAAAUCGGACUUUACUUGCGCAGUAUAGGUGGGAGGCGUUGAGAAUAUUCUUGCGGGAUUAUUGGAGCCAUCAGUGAGAUACCACUCUUGUAAUGUUAGAUUUCUAACUUUGUAUCAUUAUCUGGUCAAAGAACAGUUUCAGGCGGGCAGUUUGACUGGGGCGGUCGCUUCCUAAACGGUAACGGAGGCGCACAAAGGUUUCCUCUGAACGGGUAGAAAUCGUAUCUAGAGUGUAAAGGCAUAAGGAAGCUUGACUGUGAGACCUACAAGUCGAGCAGGGACGAAAGUCGGUCUUAGUGAUCUGACGGUGCUGAGUGGAAAGGCCGUCACUCAACGGAUAAAAGUUACUCUAAGGAUAACAGGCUGAUCUCCCCCAAGAGUUCACAUCGACGGGGAGGUUUGGCACCUCGAUGUCGGCUCAUCGCAUCCUGGGGCGGUAGUACGUCCCAAGGGUUGGGCUGUUCGCCCAUGAAAGCGGUACGCGAGCUGGGUUCAGAACGUCGUGAGACAGUUCGGUCCAUAUCCGGUGUAGGCGUUAGAAUAUUGAGAGGAGCCUUCUUUAGUACGAGAGGACCGAGAAGGACAUACCUCUGGUGUACCAGUUAUCGUGCCAACGGUAAACGCUGGGUAGCUAUGUGUGGAGUGGAUAACCGCUGAAAGCAUCUAAGUGGGAAGCCCACCUCAAGAUAAGUAUUCUCA